GAUGAACGCUGGCGGCGUGCCUAAUACAUGCAAGUCGAGCGAACAGACGAGGAUCUUGCUCCUCUGACGUUAGCGGCGGACGGGUGAGUAACACGUGGAUAACCUACCUAUAAGACUGGGAUAACUUCGGGAAACCGGAGCUAAUACCGGAUCAUAUAUUGAACCGCAUGGUUCAAUAGUGAAAGACGGUUUUGCUGUCACUUAUAGAUGGAUCCGCGCCGGAUUAGCUAGUUGGUAAGGUAACGGCUUACCAAGGCAACGAUGCGUAGCCGACCUGAGAGGGUGAUCGGCCACACUGGAACUGAGACACGGUCCAGACUCCUACGGGAGGCAGCAGUAGGGAAUAUUCCGCAAUGGGCGAAAGCCUGACGGAGCCACGCCGCGUGAGUGAAGAAGGUCUUCGGAUCGUAAAACUCUGUUAUUAGGGAAGAACAAAUGUGUAAGUAACUAUGCACGUCUUGACGGUACCUAAUCAGAAAGCCACGGCUAACUACGUG
Molecule: ribosomal RNA, 497 nt
Filed under: uncultured bacterium
Lineage: Bacteria
Description: partial 16S ribosomal RNA
Rfam family: Bacterial small subunit ribosomal RNA
Source: RNAcentral